UACGUAGGGUGCGAGCGUUGUCCGGAAUUAUUGGGCGUAGAGAGCUCGUAGGCGGCUUGUCGCGUCGGUUGUGAAAGCCCGGGGCUUAACCCCGGGUCUGCAGUCGAUACGGGCAGGCUAGAGUUCGGUAGGGGAGAUCGGAAUUCCUGGUGUAGCGGUGAAAUGCGCAGAUAUCAGGAGGAACACCGGUGGCGAAGGCGGAUCUCUGGGCCGAUACUGACGCUGAGGAGCGAAAGCGUGGGGAGCGAACAGG
RNAcentral lists this ribosomal RNA (253 nucleotides) under uncultured bacterium. Its description in RNAcentral is "partial 16S ribosomal RNA". It matches the Rfam family "Bacterial small subunit ribosomal RNA", at positions 524 to 776 of the family's 1533-position model. The record is from RNAcentral.